GACGGAGGGUGCUAGCGUUGUUCGGAAUUACUGGGCGUAAAGGGUGCGUAGGCGGCACCGCAAGUCAUGGGUGAAAGCCCGGGGCUCAACCCCGGAAUUGCCCGUGAAACUGCGGCGCUCGAGGCCGAGAGAGGGGGGUGGAAUACCCAGUGUAGAGGUGAAAUUCGUAGAUAUUGGGUGGAACACCGGUGGCGAAAGCGGCCCCCUGGCUCGGUCCUGACGCUGAGGCACGAAAGCGUGGGGAGCAAACAGG
RNAcentral lists this ribosomal RNA (253 nucleotides) under uncultured bacterium. Its description in RNAcentral is "partial 16S ribosomal RNA". It matches the Rfam family "Bacterial small subunit ribosomal RNA", at positions 524 to 776 of the family's 1533-position model. The record is from RNAcentral.